CACAGGCACUGAAAUGUUCUGGGUGGUCCCAGAAACCAGGAUGAAUCUUUCUUGUCAUUACACUGAGCUUGACGGUGGGAACCGCGAGGAGCUCGAUGGUGACUGUGCACGUCGCUGUGUGAAUGACAGAGGAUGCAUGGAGGUCUCCGGCAGCUGGCAGCCACAGAUCCGUGUCCUCCUCGGUGCAGCAGCGGCGGCAGCGGGCGUCCUCUCCGCGGGCUCUUCCACCUGAGCCAGCGGCAUCAUGGGAAGCUCCUCCUCCUCCCUCGUUGACGAGGCGGAGGACGAUGCGGCGCCCCGGGGUGCAGCUCUGCCUCCCUCCC
Oreochromis aureus is the source of this 323-nucleotide long non-coding RNA. The record is from Ensembl. Lineage: Eukaryota; Metazoa; Chordata; Actinopteri; Cichliformes; Cichlidae.